Etheostoma spectabile (orangethroat darter) is the source of this 131-nucleotide long non-coding RNA. RefSeq lists it as uncharacterized. The record is from RefSeq and is a predicted model, not a curated record. The transcript has 4 exons. Lineage: Eukaryota; Metazoa; Chordata; Actinopteri; Perciformes; Percidae.
UUUAAAUGUUAAUUCAUACUGUAAACAUUACCCUCUACAGCUGCGAGAGGGCGCUCUAGGCUUGUGACAACUAUAUGCUGCUCCUAAAGACAACUGAGAAAGACUAAAGAGGUAAACUGCAAGUAGUAAAA